AGAACGAACGCUGGCGGCAUGCCUAAUACAUGCAAGUCGAACGAACUCUUCGGAGUUAGUGGCGCACGGGUGCGUAACGCGUGGGAAUCUGCCCCUUGGUUCGGAAUAACAGUUGGAAACGACUGCUAAUACCGGAUGAUGACGAAAGUCCAAAGAUUUAUCGCCAAGGGAUGAGCCCGCGUAGGAUUAGCUAGUUGGUGAGGUAAAGGCUCACCAAGGCAACGAUCCUUAGCUGGUCUGAGAGGAUGAUCAGCCACACUGGGACUGGAGACACGGCCCAGACCUCCGUACGGGAGGCAG
Molecule: ribosomal RNA, 300 nt
Filed under: uncultured soil bacterium
Lineage: Bacteria
Description: bacterial SSU rRNA
Rfam family: Bacterial small subunit ribosomal RNA
Source: RNAcentral